This 212-nucleotide unclassified non-coding RNA is filed under the name plant metagenome. Its description in RNAcentral is "partial contains small subunit ribosomal RNA, internal transcribed spacer 1, and 5.8S ribosomal RNA". The record is from RNAcentral.
UCUCCGCUGGUGAACCAGCGGAGGGAUCAUUACCGAGUUUACAACUCCCAAACCCCUGUGAACAUACCUUAAUGUUGCCUCGGCGGAUCAGCCCGCGCCCCGUAAAACGGGACGGCCCGCCAGAGGACCCAAACCCUAAUGUUUCUUAUUGUAACUUCUGAGUAAAACAAACAAAUAAAUCAAAACUUUCAACAACGGAUCUCUUGGUUCUG